UUUGCUAUCAUAUCAAAGGAUUAUAUAAGUUCAUGAUAUGGAUGAACGUUUCUACUAACUGCCGCAAAUGGUUAUCUAUAAUCUUUAUUAUAGGUGAA
This 98-nucleotide non-coding RNA is filed under the name Eubacterium ventriosum. RNAcentral's name for it is "Guanine sequence". It matches the Rfam family "Purine riboswitch aptamer". Rfam says of the family: Riboswitches are metabolite binding domains within certain messenger RNAs that serve as precision sensors for their corresponding targets. Lineage: Bacteria; Bacillati; Bacillota; Clostridia; Eubacteriales; Eubacteriaceae. The record is from RNAcentral.